RNAcentral lists this ribosomal RNA (336 nucleotides) under uncultured bacterium. RNAcentral's name for it is "bacterial SSU rRNA". It matches the Rfam family "Bacterial small subunit ribosomal RNA", at positions 8 to 334 of the family's 1533-position model. The record is from RNAcentral.
AGGGUUUGAUUCUGGCUCAGGAUGAACGCUAGCUACAGGCUUAACACAUGCAAGUCGAGGGGCAGCAUUUCAGUUUGCUUGCAAACUGGAGAUGGCGACCGGCGCACGGGUGAGUAACACGUAUCCAACCUGCCGAUAACUCGGGGAUAGCCUUUCGAAAGAAAGAUUAAUACCCGAUGGUAUAAUUAGACCGCAUGGUUUGAUUAUUAAAGAAUUUCGGUUAUCGAUGGGGAUGCGUUCCAUUAGGCAGUUGGUGAGGUAACGGCUCACCAAACCUUCGAUGGAUAGGGGUUCUGAGAGGAAGGUCCCCCACAUUGGAACUGAGACACGGUCCAA